This 433-nucleotide ribosomal RNA is filed under the name uncultured bacterium. Its description in RNAcentral is "partial 16S ribosomal RNA". It matches the Rfam family "Bacterial small subunit ribosomal RNA", at positions 29 to 507 of the family's 1533-position model. The record is from RNAcentral.
AACGAACGCUGGCGGCAUGCCUAACACAUGCAAGUCGAACGAGACCUUCGGGUCUAGUGGCGCACGUGUGCGUAACGCGUGGGAACCUGCCCUUAGGUUCGGAAUAACUCCCCGAAAGGGGUGCUAAUACCGGAUAAUGUCUUCGGACCAAAGAUUUAUCGCCUUUGGGUGGGCCCGCGUUGGAUUAGCUAGUUGGUAGGGUAAAAGCCUACCAAGGCGACGAUCCAUAGCUGGUCUGAGAGGAUGAUCAGCCACACUGGGACUGAGACACGGCCCAGACUCCUACGGGAGGCAGCAGUGGGGAAUAUUGGGCAAUGGGCGAAAGCCUGAUCCAGCCAUGCCGCGUGAGUGAUGAAGGCCUUAGGGUUGUAAAGCUCUUUUACCCGGGAUGAUAAUGACAGUACCGGGAGAAUAAGCUCCGGCUAACUCCGUG